RNAcentral lists this ribosomal RNA (3129 nucleotides) under Schmidtea mediterranea. RNAcentral describes it as "eukaryotic LSU rRNA". The stretch from base 2239 to 3129 matches the Rfam family "Eukaryotic large subunit ribosomal RNA", at positions 1891 to 2862 of the family's 3401-position model. The record is from RNAcentral. Lineage: Eukaryota; Metazoa; Platyhelminthes; Tricladida; Dugesiidae.
UCGAUAUUUCACUGUCAGUCAAUCUACUCUUCGAGAAUACAAAAUCUCGUACUACAGCAACAUCGAAACAGGCGAUUUCCGCCCAGUGCUGCAUGAAUGUCAUUUGUAAGUCAUUUUUUGAGUACAUUUUUUCAUAAACUGCAACGUUUUUGGUUUGAUAAAACAACUCUUUGUUUAAGUGUCGAAUGUUCUGGAAUUUCCAAUUGAAGUUAUUUAUAAACUUAUACAAUUUUGGGGCUAUUAAUUUACCAUUUAUUUUUCCUUUAGUUAUAUGAUUAAUUUUUUCAAUUUUGUUAAUUAAAUUAUUAAAAUUUAAAUUUGUAUCUUCAAUAAAUUUUUCUAAAUUAGUUUUAGAUUCUUUUAAAUUUAUAUAAGUAUUUUCAUUAUUAUUAUUAUUUAAAUUGUUAUUGAUAUUAUUAGAAUUAAAAUUUUGUUUAAAUAUUUUCUUUUCUUUAAUUUUAUAAUUUUCAAAAUGCUUAUUUUGAGAAGCAUGGUAAUUCCUAUUAUCAUGUUUUUUAUUAAAAGCAAAAGCAUUAGGAGCUUGUACACUCUGGGAAUUCUUGUUCUUAGAAUGUGCAGUAUCCCUAUAUUCAUUUGUAGUUUUAUUAUUAUUAUUAUAGAUUCUGGUUUGGACAUUAUAAUUUUUAUUAUAAGGUCGCUUAGAUUUAUUAAAGGAAUUUGGAGUCUGCUUGCCCUGAAAGUUUUUGUUUUCAGGAUAAGUAGAAUCCCUAUAUUGCAUAUCAUUAUUUAAUUUAUUCAUUUCAUUUUUUUUUAAUAGGUUGUAGUUAAUGGGAUUGAAGCGAGAAGAUGACUGAUUUAUGCCUUUAUUCGGAGAUGCAAGCCUAUAAGUAUUAUUUUUGUUCUUAUAUUUAUUAGAGUCAUUAUUGUUAAAGGUAGAAUCAUUAUAAUAGUUUUUAUUAUUCUUAUUAAUUUUAUAAUUAUUAUUAUUAUUAUAAGUGUUUUUAUUAUUAUCAUUAUAGCUAUUAUUAGAAUCAUUACUUUUAUCUUUCAUUAAUGUAUUAUAUCUAUUAUUAUUAUUUUUGUAAUUAUAAUUAUCAUUAAAAACUUUGUUAUAGUUAUUUUUUCUAUAGAUAUUAUCACUAUCAGUAGAGCUUUUAUUAAUAUUAUUAUAACGAUUAUCAGGAUUAAUAUUAUUAUUAUUUAGUGCAUUAUGUCUAUAAUUAUAACGAUUAUCAGCAUUAAUAUUAUUAUCAUUAUAUCUAUUACUAUAUAUAUAGCUAUUAUUGUUAUUUUUAUAAAAAUUUCUAUUAUUAGGGUUUCUAUAAUUAUUAUGAUCUUCAACAUUAUAUUCCCUAUUAUAAAUAUCUUUAGUAUUGUUAGUGUAGUUGAAAUCAUUUUUAUUUUUAUCAAAAUUGCUAUAUUUUCUUAUUAGGGUCUCCCUUCUGUUGAUGAAUGAUCCGAAUUUAUUACCUGAAUCAAUUACUUUGGCAUAUGUGACCUUAUUAGCAUAAUAAUUAGAUAUAGGUGAGUCAGUAUUUUUAUUAUUAUUAUUUCUAUUAAUAUUGGCUGAAUUAGUCAAUUUAUCAUUGAUACCUUUAUUCCAGUGUCUUUCCGGCCCAUUCCCCAUUCUGUUCCCAGCUGUGUCAGUCGCUCCAGCAGAUUCGAAUCCCAUAGUCUGUGAAUGAAUUCGGGGUACAAGUUCUCUGGCUCUCAUCGGGGUCUCAGGAGUCCUCGUCAGUGUCCGAUGGGGAAAGAUGGGCUCAUUCUCAUUUCUAUUAAUAAAAUUAUAAUUAAUAUUGUUGUUUAAUUUGUUAGUAUUUUUAUGAUUAUUAUAAAGAUGGGUGUGGGCAUCCACCAUAGAGUUAUGGGUGGGUCCAUUAGCAUUGUUCUGGCUUUCCAAUUCAUGUGAGCUUCUCCAUUUUUCAUCGCAGUGUUUUUCUUUGAGUGCUGUAAUUAUAGUGAGCAUCUCUUUCUGUUGUUUCUCAUUGUAAUAUUUUGGUGGGUUCUCUAAUAAAUUGUCCACAUAUCUGUCAUAGGAGGAGACUGGCCAGGCAAGUUCGGCUCUUAGUCGGUACCAGCAGUGUCUCAUCCUUGGUAGCUCUUCCAUCGAUGUCCUACAUGUAAUAAAUCUAAAAAAUUGAGUAAUAUCAUAUUUAAAUCGUGCUAUUCUAGCACUAUCUUCAAUUUUUUUUAAUAGUUGAAGUGAGCGUUGCUCCAUAGAGGAUGACUUUUGCUCUCCUCCAACUAUUCGAUUCAAGUAAGUCGCAGUUGCUGAUCUGGGAUCGAGUAGUUGCGUCCGCAGUCGGUUCCAACUACUCGAUAUUUCACUGUCAGUCAAUCUACUCUUCGAGAAUACAAAAUCUCGUACUACAGCAACAUCGAAACAGGCGAUUUCUGCCCAGUGCCAUGAAUGUCAAUGUGAAGAAAUUCAAACAAGCGCUGGUUAACGGCGGGAGUAACUAUGACUCUCUUCAGGUAGCCAAAUGCCUCGUCAUCUAAUUAGUGACGUGCAUGAAUGGAUUAACGAGAUUCCUACUGUCCCUAUCUACUAUCUAGCGAAACUACAGCCAAGGGAACGGGCUUGGAAAAUAUAGCGGGGAAAGAAGACCCUGUUGAGCUUGACUCUAGUCCGACUUUGUAGGGAGACAUUAGAGGUGUAGUAUAAGUGGGAGACUCACGUCGACAGUGAAAUACCACUACUCUGAUCGUUUCUUUACUUACUCAGUAAUGCAGUGCAGUUGAUUCAGGUCAAUUUAUUGUGGAGAAAAGAAAGCGAUCUUCGGAUGCUUUCGAGCUGUUCUGAGGACAGUGUCAGGUGGGGAGUUUGACUGGGGCGGUACAUCUGUCAAAUGGUAACGCAGGUGUCCCAAGGUGAGCUCAACCAGGACAGAAACCUGGUGUCGACCAAAAGGGGAAAAGCUCACUUGAUUUUGAUUUUCAGUACGAAUACAGACCGUGAAAGCGCGGCCUAUCGAUCCUUUUGAUGUCUUCAGAGUUUGAAGCAAGAGGUGUCAGAAAACAAAUUCAUUAUUGUGUGGGAGCAAAUUUAUGUUAGAAGAUUGGGCUGGUAGGCUUACCAUCACCAAUCAUAGGUUAUAAGUGUUGUAUCAAUGUCUGUGUGUAGAUAGGUUUGCUACUAGCCUCUCCAUAUCUGGAAAAGUAGCCUUG